AGUUCUAGCUCACCUUUCUGGUGUUGUUCUUGUACUCAUCUAAUUAAUCCAGUUCUUCUUGAACUUCUUGUCUAAUUUUCUUAUCUGUAUUUUGUAUCCGUGACAGUAAGGUUCCAACAAGCCCAACACAUGACUCCUCCGUUGGAUAGCGUUCGGAUUAUAAAAUUGUUAUCAACCUGAUUUGGUUGACGAAUCCUUGAAACUUGGAAUGCAUACCAUCGAACUUGUCCGGAAGGCUAAGUCGAGGCUCCUUAUGUUGUAGAAUUAGCGGUGCUUGUCGAACCUGAGGCAAAGUUGCUUCUCCAAGUACAGAAGUUUGAGGCUGGUGCAACCUAGAUUGUGCCAUCCCAGAUGUUCCAUCAUUAUGAAGCCUUGCCAUUAACGACUCCUUCAAUCUCUGCAGUUCUUUGCGAUAACGUAGCGAGGACAUUCAUGAUAACAUCUAACUUCGACUCUGAACUUUCCGUCAUACUAAUAUCUUGACUUCCAACCAUUCUAAGAGAAAGACAGAAAUGACUCUAUAAAAAGACAAUAUUGGUUUAGAGGAGGGUACUCCACAACCUCUAAAAUACCUUAAGAGCUUCAAGAAAAGGGAUAAUCCACUCUCUCCAAGAAGAAUAAGAUUUCAAUAUUGUAAUAAAAGAAGUAUCAGUUUAGAGGAGAGUAAUCCGCAACCUCUAAAAUACUACUACACUUCUAAGUAGAGGGAUAAUCUAUACUCUAAUGAGGAAGGAACUCACUCUGAUAUUUGAGUUGAGUGAAGUCUCGACAAACUGUCAUGGACACAAAAUACAGAUUUGAAAUCUAAGAAGAAAUUCAAGAAGAACUGGCAAGAACUAGAUUAAUCAGAUGAAUACAAAAACAACACUAGAGAGGUGAGCUAGAGCUCCAAGAGAU
RNAcentral lists this long non-coding RNA (897 nucleotides) under Physcomitrium patens. Its description in RNAcentral is "long non-coding RNA (PPAT_LNC010194)". Lineage: Eukaryota; Viridiplantae; Streptophyta; Bryopsida; Funariales; Funariaceae. The record is from RNAcentral.